Molecule: ribosomal RNA, 743 nt
Filed under: Dermabacteraceae bacterium SM52
Lineage: Bacteria; Bacillati; Actinomycetota; Actinomycetes; Micrococcales; Dermabacteraceae
Description: bacterial SSU rRNA
Rfam family: Bacterial small subunit ribosomal RNA
Source: RNAcentral
CCUGGUGUAGCGUGAUAUGCGCAGAUAUCAGGAAGAACACCGAUGGCGAAGGCAGGUUUCUGGGCCAUUACUGACACUGAGAAGCGAAAGCAUGGGGAGCGAACAGGAUUAGAUACCCUGGUAGUCCAUGCCGUAAACGUUGGGCACUAGGUGUGGGGAACAUUCCACGUUUUCCGCGCCGUAGCUAACGCAUUAAGUGCCCCGCCUGGGGAGUACGGCCGCAAGGCUAAAACUCAAAGGAAUUGACGGGGGCCCGCACAAGCGGCGGAGCAUGCGGAUUAAUUCGAUGCAACGCGAAGAACCUUACCAAGGCUUGACAUGCACCGGACGACUCCAGAGAUGGGGUUUUCUUCGGACUGGUGCACAGGUGGUGCAUGGUUGUCGUCAGCUCGUGUCGUGAGAUGUUGGGUUAAGUCCCGCAACGAGCGCAACCCUCGUUCCAUGUUGCCAGCGCGUUAUGGCGGGGACUCAUGGGAGACUGCCGGGGUCAACUCGGAGGAAGGUGGGGACGACGUCAAAUCAUCAUGCCCCUUAUGUCUUGGGCUUCACGCAUGCUACAAUGGUCGGUACAAUGGGUUGCGAAACUGUGAGGUGGAGCGAAUCCCAAAAAGCCGGUCUCAGUUCGGAUUGGGGUCUGCAACUCGACCCCAUGAAGUCGGAGUCGCUAGUAAUCGCAGAUCAGCAACGCUGCGGUGAAUACGUUCCCGGGCCUUGUACACACCGCCCGUCAAGUCACGAAAGUC